UAUAGUGAGCAUCCUGGUAGGGGCCAUUGACAAAUGACCUUUCGCGAAGUCCCGCCCCCCUUAGUUACUGUUGCUAAGUCCGACAGCUAAGACCGGAGUUGACUAGAACCAGAGAAGGAGACGGGCUCUGCUAGAACCUCAAUGGUAGCUUUCAUUCUCCGCAGACUGGUUCUCCCCUGGAUUGAUCUUUGCCCUGAAGCGCCGGGGCAUCAAGCUUAUCAGUGGUGGAGGAUGUGAUGCUCCUGGAGUCUGAAGCUGAGCUUCCUGAGGAAGGGUCCUCAUCUCGUUUGGCUUUCUUCGCCUCUGGGCUGGACGGACCUGA
Alosa sapidissima (American shad) is the source of this 322-nucleotide long non-coding RNA. RefSeq lists it as uncharacterized. The record is from RefSeq and is a predicted model, not a curated record. NCBI's taxonomy places the organism in Eukaryota, Metazoa, Chordata, Actinopteri, Clupeiformes, Clupeidae. The transcript has 3 exons.